Long non-coding RNA from Boleophthalmus pectinirostris (great blue-spotted mudskipper), 199 nucleotides. RefSeq lists it as uncharacterized. NCBI's taxonomy places the organism in Eukaryota, Metazoa, Chordata, Actinopteri, Gobiiformes, Gobiidae. The transcript is spliced from 3 exons. The record is from RefSeq and is a predicted model, not a curated record.
UGUUUCUGUAUGUCCACAGGUGGGAAAUGCUUGCUUGAGGUUGGUGAAAGAGAUAUCCCAACUUCAGGGGAAAAAGGUCUUCAUUAUGGACCUCCAUAUACCCCCUACCUGGCUACCACCCAGGGGCUGUGACCCUCUGCUGAGUCUUCCAGUGGAUGCCACAGAGACUGUGCUGGUGUUCCCACUUUGGACUCCAGGG